RNAcentral lists this unclassified non-coding RNA (398 nucleotides) under fungal sp. RNAcentral describes it as "partial internal transcribed spacer region". The stretch from base 1 to 46 matches the Rfam family "Eukaryotic small subunit ribosomal RNA", at positions 1786 to 1831 of the family's 1831-position model. Lineage: Eukaryota; Fungi. The record is from RNAcentral.
AAGUCGUAACAAGGUUUCCGUAGGUGAACCUGCGGAAGGAUCAUUACUGAAUAAAGUGUGGUUGGGGGUUGUUGCUGGCGGCCUUCCUUUGGAUGCAUGUGCACGCCCCUGCCAUCCUGUCGUUCAUCUUCUCCACCUGUGCAUUCCCUUCGUAGGCCAGACAGAUGGUCAUUAAUCAGCUGGGCUCUUCUUCCUCCUCAGAGAGAGGGGGAGGGUGGAUGCUCUUUGGGACUUGCUGUUGCAGCUCAAUGUUGUGACAGCUCCUCCUGGAAGUUGACACAUCUGGUCUACGCACCUUUAUCCGAAAAACCUCUUAUGUCUUGUUGUAUGGUAUUAUGUGGGCUUAUCGUUAAAAGCAUGUGUAAAUACAACUUUCAACAACGGAUCUCUUGGCUCUC